UGUCACUUAAACAUACGAGACUGGCAAA
Molecule: non-coding RNA, 28 nt
Filed under: Rattus norvegicus (Norway rat)
Lineage: Eukaryota; Metazoa; Chordata; Mammalia; Rodentia; Muridae
Source: RNAcentral